This 1333-nucleotide unclassified non-coding RNA is filed under the name Hevea brasiliensis (rubber tree). The record is from RNAcentral. Lineage: Eukaryota; Viridiplantae; Streptophyta; Magnoliopsida; Malpighiales; Euphorbiaceae.
CAUUCUCAUUCUCGUACGCCUCUCACCUCCGGCUAUCCAUAGCAGGCGAAGGUAAGUCAUCUGGGUGAGUGAAAAUGGUAGAUAAGACCAAGGGAAGAAAGGAGGAGGUGGUUACCAGAGAGUACACUAUCAACCUUCACAAGCGCUUGCAUGGAUGGUAAUCUGUCUUCCUUUAUAUGUGCUUCAGUGUUUGUGAGCGCUUUGUUCUAAAAGUUUCUUCUUUUUUCGUUGGCUCUUUGGAUUGUUUUUGGUACUGCUUUAUUAACUGGAUAACUUGUUUAUUUACGGCUUUGGAUUGGCCUUUAUUUGAAUCUGUUAAUGUUUAGAUUAGUAGUUAUAGUUUCAAUGUAUUUAUCAUUUAUUAAUGGGUGCUUGAUGGAGAUAGAUAGAGAAUAGUUGGGUUGUCCAAUUGAUGGAGAUGGAAUUGGAAUUUAAAAGAUGCUGGAUGCUGAUGUUGGUUGCCAUAGCCAUUUUAUAUGUAUAUAUUCAUUGGGAAAUGGGUAUUCUUAAGUAACCAUGGCCUAAUUAUGGUAUAGGUAGUAACAUAGCUUUACCUUAGGAUCAUAAAUGUGGGUUUUAGGGAGUUCUUUGUUAACAAUUGGGCAAAAGAGCUUGCUGUUAGUUUGGGAGGGUUUAUGAUGAAAAUGGCAUGCCAUUUGGUGUGCUUUGGGAGAAAGAAGACUGGUAAAGGUGGUUUAGGUGAUACAGAUUUAUGAAUUAUCUUAUGUCAUUUUGAAGUGUUGAUUGGCUGCUCCUCUGCCCUCGUAAAUCUUAAGAGCGUGCAAUGUGGCAACUCUCCUGCAUUUGGACACAUCCAUGUGUUACUAACCUUGGAGAAUAUCAUUAUAUGGUCCUGUGUUUGAGUGGUGUAAGUAGUUCAUUUAUUUAUAAUUGCAUUUAGGAGUGAGUUUGUCUUUCCUUUAGUGAAGUGAGAAAUUUUUAUCACGAUCUGGUGUAUGGUAAGCAUUGCACAAUUUGCCAUCAUGUAUCACCUUGAUAUUAUUUUAUGUUGAUAGUAGCUUAUUGUGCGUUUUGAUAAUUGAAUGCUGGUAAAUCUAAUUAAUUUGAAAAUGGACUUGCACUCCUGCAAAUGUUAAGGUUACCUGAUCUAUUUAUUUAUUCAUUGCUGAUCCUUGCUAAAUUUUGGAAGAACAGCACCUUCAAGAAGAAGGCUCCCAAUGCUAUUAAGGAGAUCAGGAAGUUUGCUCAGAAGGCGAUGGGAACAAAGGAUGUGAGAGUGGAUGUUAAGCUGAACAAGCACAUCUGGAGCAGGGGGAUCCGAAGUGUUCCUAGGAGGGUCAGGGUUCGCAUUGCUCGCAGGAGGAACGAUGAU